This 255-nucleotide ribosomal RNA is filed under the name uncultured bacterium. RNAcentral describes it as "partial 16S ribosomal RNA". It matches the Rfam family "Bacterial small subunit ribosomal RNA", at positions 524 to 776 of the family's 1533-position model. The record is from RNAcentral.
UACGUAGGGUGCAAGCGUUGUCCGGAAUUAUUGGGCGUAAAGAGCUCGUAGGCGGUCUGUCACGUCGGCUGUGAAAACCCGAGGCUCAACCUCGGGCCUGCAGUCGAUACGGGCAGACUAGAGUGCGGUAGGGGAGACUGGAAUUCCUGGUGUAGCGGUGAAAUGCGCAGAUAUCAGGAGGAACACCGGUGGCGAAGGCGGCGAUCUGGGUCGAUACUGACGCUGGAGGUGACGAAAGCGUGGGGAGCAAACAGG